Molecule: ribosomal RNA, 100 nt
Filed under: Melanotaenia splendida inornata (checkered rainbowfish)
Lineage: Eukaryota; Metazoa; Chordata; Actinopteri; Atheriniformes; Melanotaeniidae
Description: partial 12S ribosomal RNA
Source: RNAcentral
GCCUGUACGGGCGCUGAAAUAAUUAAAAGGGUACUCAGAGGAAGGGGAGGCCUGGCGUUUCCUGAUAGGUGGGCCGGAAGGAGUACUUGGUGUAUGUCAG